Molecule: long non-coding RNA, 275 nt
Organism: Aricia agestis (brown argus)
Lineage: Eukaryota; Metazoa; Arthropoda; Insecta; Lepidoptera; Lycaenidae
Exons: 2
Source: RefSeq, a predicted model, not a curated record
CACUGAUCAUUGUCUACAUCAAAUCAUUUUGAAUAGUUCAAAAGUUAAUUUUGAUUGUAACGAAAUAAGAAGGAUGGGCAAUAAUUAUAUUGUAUUAAGCAGAAUAUUUGUGUUAUUAACAAUAUCAAUAAAGGAAACUCGUUGUGAAAAACGUGGCGGCAUUUGUAUGGACAAGAGUGUCUUCUGUGGUACAGCCUUGAAGAAUUUCAAGACGGACUGCGCUCCGAACGAAUAUUGCUGUAUUUUAGUUUAAUAUAUUAUUACUACAAAAGAAA